Molecule: long non-coding RNA, 350 nt
Filed under: Mytilus galloprovincialis (Mediterranean mussel)
Lineage: Eukaryota; Metazoa; Mollusca; Bivalvia; Mytilida; Mytilidae
Source: RNAcentral
AAUAUUUACAUGACAAUCCUGUCUUCCAAAUGCAUUUUAAACAUUUUGUUUUUAUCAACAAUUACUAUUUAAAAAAAAAAAAAAAAAACACACUGAAGAUAACAUGUAUUUUAGUUGCAACAACUUUAUUAUGGAUAAAGAACUGCCAACCUGUACCAGAAACAACUAAUGGUUUGGAACACACUAUACACUAUGAACGACAACUCGACCUAGAAUGUUACUCACAUUUGUUCAUAAUGUAAACAAACACGCAUAUAAAAAAAACGGUAGUAUGUAGCAUUUAAAGACAACCAGAAUGCUGUAGUAAAGAUCAUCGAGAAAUUGAUCUGGUUUGCCGCCCGGAGAUGCCG